GGGCCCGCACAAGCGGUGGAGCAUGUGGUUUAAUUCGACGCAACGCGAAGAACCUUACCAAAUCUUGACAUCGAUGGAAUUUUAAUGAAAAUUAGAAGUGCCCUUUCAGGGAACCUGAAGACAGGUGGUGCAUGGUUGUCGUCAGCUCGUGUCGUGAGAUGUUGGGUUAAGUCCCGCAACGAGCGCAACCCUUACUAUAUGUUACUAACAGGUUAAGCUGAGGACUCAUAUGGGACUGCCGGUGUAAGCCGGAGGAAGGUGAGGAUGACGUCAAAUCAUCAUGCCCCUUAUGAUUUGGGCUACACACGUGCUACAAUGGACAAUACAGAGGGAUGCCAACUCGCGAGAGGGAGCAGACCCCUUAAAACUGUUCUCAGUUCGGAUUGUAGUCUGAAACUCGACUACAUGAAGUCGGAAUCGCUAGUAAUCGCAGGUCAGCAUACUG
This 445-nucleotide ribosomal RNA is filed under the name uncultured Bacillota bacterium. RNAcentral describes it as "bacterial SSU rRNA". It matches the Rfam family "Bacterial small subunit ribosomal RNA", at positions 917 to 1359 of the family's 1533-position model. Lineage: Bacteria; Bacillati; Bacillota. The record is from RNAcentral.